This 485-nucleotide ribosomal RNA is filed under the name Bacillus cereus. RNAcentral describes it as "bacterial SSU rRNA". It matches the Rfam family "Bacterial small subunit ribosomal RNA", at positions 395 to 870 of the family's 1533-position model. Lineage: Bacteria; Bacillati; Bacillota; Bacilli; Caryophanales; Bacillaceae. The record is from RNAcentral.
CGCCGCGUGAGUGAUGAAGGCUUUCGGGUCGUAAAACUCUGUUGUUAGGGAAGAACAAGUGCUAGUUGAAUAAGCUGGCACCUUGACGGUACCUAACCAGAAAGCCACGGCUAACUACGUGCCAGCAGCCGCGGUAAUACGUAGGUGGCAAGCGUUAUCCGGAAUUAUUGGGCGUAAAGCGCGCGCAGGUGGUUUCUUAAGUCUGAUGUGAAAGCCCACGGCUCAACCGUGGAGGGUCAUUGGAAACUGGGAGACUUGAGUGCAGAAGAGGAAAGUGGAAUUCCAUGUGUAGCGGUGAAAUGCGUAGAGAUAUGGAGGAACACCAGUGGCGAAGGCGACUUUCUGGUCUGUAACUGACACUGAGGCGCGAAAGCGUGGGGAGCAAACAGGAUUAGAUACCCUGGUAGUCCACGCCGUAAACGAUGAGUGCUAAGUGUUAGAGGGUUUCCGCCCUUUAGUGCUGAAGUUAACGCAUUAAGCACUCC